AAUUACUCGGCAAAAUGCUCAUCAACAAAUUUUAUCUUUUCGUCUUGAUUUCAUUGUUCAUCCAAUUUCUUUUAACUUAGUUUAUGUUUUUUUUUUUAUGUCCUGCUAACUCUCUAUAACUCAAACUGAAUCAUCCAUGGUCGCCUUCUUUUGAAAACAAUGUAAGUUGUAGUUAACAUCGCAUAUUGAUCUUAGAAACUAAGAACUUUACUACAUUUUCUGUUUUAAAAUAGCAUACAAGCUAUUUAUUCAUGAAGCCUCAAUCCUCAAGUCUCUAACUCUCUCCGUUUUCAGUGUUAUAAAUCAGUUACAAUCCAAUCUUUGGUGGGGACCAAAGAAAACAACUAGAUCAAACACGUACUAGAUGUCAACAACUAUGAAGACGUCGGUGAGAAACAACAACAAUGGACUUAGAUCUGAAAGAUUUGAUCGUCUGGAGGAUGCAAAGCUCUCACAUGAAGAGUUUGUUAUGUUCAAAACAGAUUCCCGUUAAGAGUGAAAAGAACUCAUCCAUGUUAACAUCACGACAAGGCACGUCUUCUUUUUAAGGCAUGUACCCAUCUUUAUUUUUAAGUCAUUAAAAAAACCACAAGACAUUCUCAUAUAGAAACUUUAAGUAUCAUUCUCAUAAUUAACUGUUCGUUUGUAAUUAUCCCUCAAAUUUGUGAUACUGUAAUGGCUUUAUUUGUUUAGAGAUCAAUAUUUGGAGAAUUUUUUUUUUUGUUAAGAAUACGGAUUGUAUUUAUAUCAAAUAUUUUAUAAUUUGUAGUAUGGAUUACAAAUGCUAAAUAUAUAUUUAAAUUUAUUUUAA
RNAcentral lists this long non-coding RNA (811 nucleotides) under Arabidopsis thaliana (thale cress). RNAcentral's name for it is "long non-coding RNA (ATHA_LNC000080)". The record is from RNAcentral. Lineage: Eukaryota; Viridiplantae; Streptophyta; Magnoliopsida; Brassicales; Brassicaceae.